This 605-nucleotide ribosomal RNA is filed under the name uncultured prokaryote. RNAcentral's name for it is "bacterial SSU rRNA". It matches the Rfam family "Bacterial small subunit ribosomal RNA", at positions 28 to 625 of the family's 1533-position model. The record is from RNAcentral.
GAUGAACGCUAGCGACAGGCCUAACACAUGCAAGUCGAGGGGUAGCACAGAAUAGCUUGCUAUUUGGGUGACGACCGGCGCACGGGUGAGUAACGUGUAUGCAACCUGCCUAUAAGAGGGGGAUAGCCUUUCGAAAGAAAGAUUAAUACCGCAUAAUACUGUUUACCUGCAUGGGUAGAUAGUUAAACUAAUUGGCUUAUAGAUGGGCAUGCGUUCCAUUAGAUAGUUGGUGAGGUAACGGCUCACCAAGUCAGCGAUGGAUAGGGGUUCUGAGAGGAAGGUCCCCCACACUGGUACUGAGACACGGACCAGACUCCUACGGGAGGCAGCAGUGAGGAAUAUUGGUCAAUGGGCGAGAGCCUGAACCAGCCAAGUCGCGUGAAGGAUGAAGGUCUUAUGGAUUGUAAACUUCUUUUAUAAGGGAAUAAAAAAGAUCACGUGUGGUCUAUUGCAUGUACCUUAUGAAUAAGCAUCGGCUAACUCCGUGCCAGCAGCCGCGGUAAUACGGAGGAUGCGAGCGUUAUCCGGAUUUAUUGGGUUUAAAGGGUGCGUAGGCGGUUUAUUAAGUCAGUGGUGAAAGUUUUCGGCUCAACCGGAAAAUUGCC